This 274-nucleotide long non-coding RNA is filed under the name Eucalyptus grandis. RNAcentral describes it as "long non-coding RNA (EGRA_LNC006137)". Lineage: Eukaryota; Viridiplantae; Streptophyta; Magnoliopsida; Myrtales; Myrtaceae. The record is from RNAcentral.
UUUUAAAGAUAUAUUAAAAUUUAAAAAUAAUAUAAAAAUAAAAAUUUGGACCGGACCGGGUCGGGUCUGGUUCGACCCAACCCGGUUCGGCCCGAGUUCGGUCCGAUUGGGAGGUUGGGCCCGAAGCGUGGGCCCAGCCCAAAAAGUCACAUUCUCUUCUAAAACAAACAGGCCCAUAAGCCCACAAGGUCACCCCCUCUUUUAAAAUAAAUAGGCCCACAAGCCCAAAAGGUCACCCCCUCUUUUAAAAUAAAUAGGCCCACAAGCCCAAAAG